Molecule: non-coding RNA, 118 nt
Organism: Sturnus vulgaris (Common starling)
Lineage: Eukaryota; Metazoa; Chordata; Aves; Passeriformes; Sturnidae
Source: RefSeq, a predicted model, not a curated record
CUGGAGCCGGUUCCGCACGGCCAUGGGCGCCUGGAUCGCGGCGUGCCGGCAGGACGGAGAAGAGAAGCAGGACGUGGCGACUGGUGACACUGGACCAGUGCUGGCGGAGGACGACGGA